AUGGACGGCAACGGCGUAGCCCUCCCCAGCGACCUCCUCCUCGAGAUCCUCAGGCGCCUCCCCGGCCGCGCCCUCGCCGUGUCCCGGUGCGUCUGCCGCGCGUGGCGCGACCUCGUGUCCGAUCACACCCACGCCCUCCUCCUCCCGCAGGUAUUCCCGCGCGAGUUUCCCGGCGUCUUCGCCACCUACCACGGCUACGACCCCGACUUCGCCUUCUUCGGCCCGCCGCCAUCGCCGUCGGCCGACGCCCACGUGCCCGGCUACCGGCGUCUCUUCUGGGACCAUUGGGAUUGCCUUGUGAAGCAGCACUGCAACGGCUUGCUCCUCGUCACGGGGAAGCGCUACUUCAAUCCUAACAUGGUUCCCUACGUGUGCAACCCAGCCACGUCGCGGUAUGCCCGCCUGCCAUGUCCGCCGACGCGCUGGCCGUGCAGCGUCGAGGGCAUGUUCCUCGCCUUUGACCCGGCCGUGUCGCGGCACCACGAGGUGUUCUUCUUACCCACAGAAAAGCUAGAUCGCAACGACGAGGAAGAUGAGUGGCCACGCGCCAAACGUCGACCAUGCCCGUGCUGGAUCGAUUGGGAGGACACGUGGCUACCCAACUUGUUUGGAGAAGACAAACCAUUCUCUGAAUCUAAGGAAGAGCCCAACCCAAAGGUGCCCAAGGAGAAUGUGUUCCACGUGUUGGUGUUCUCUUCACGGACAGGCCAGUGGGAGAGCCGCAAGUUCACGCCAGGGCGAUGCGCCUCAGGAAACCUAUACGAUGUGGUGACCACGCCGCGCUGUAAGGAUCUGCGCACGUGGUGGUCGGCCGAGUAUUGGCAUGGCUCACUCUACGUGCACUGCCAUAGUGAUGUCCUCAUGAUCCUGUGUUGCUCGGAGGGGACAUACCAGAUGGUUCAGCUUCCAGGGCAUCCUUAUGGCCGCAAGAGAUUGCGUCAAUGGGCACUGCCAACGAGGUACUUAGGGAGUUGCAAUAGAGGGAUCCGCUAUGCGGUGGUCAAAGAUUUGCUGCUUGAAGUAUGGGAUCUAAUGGAGUCGGCCGAUGAUCAGUUGGGAUGGACAUUGGCACACCGUGCCGACCUCAAAGAGCAUGACCGUAUGAUGAAAUAUCUUAGUAGUGAACCGAGGAUGGAACCAAGGAUGACAUGGGAAUUGGCUGAAGGCAACAAAGACUUAAUCAGCCUAUUCGAAGAUGGCAAUAGUGAGGAAAUUGAUGAUGAUUGCGAUGACGGGACCGGAGACUACAAGGAUGGUGGAGAGGAAGAGGACGAAGAUAACUAUGACGAGGCACAAGAUGUAGAGGAUGAACAAGAAGAUAAUGAUGACCAGACACAAGGUGGUGAGAAGGAAGAACAAACUAGCUAUGUUGAUGAUGAUGAUGACAACGAUGACUAUGAUGAUGAUGAUGAUGACGGUUCCGACUACUCAUGGAACUCGGACAAACACAACUUCAUUGACUAUGAUAACAUUACAGUUCCAGACGAAGACCUUUGGGGGUGGGGCUGCAGUAUUGUCGGAUUCCAUCCGCACAAGGAUGCGCUUCUUCUCAAAUUUAGUGACACGGUGGGUACAUAUCAUCUCCAGACUUCCAGAAUGCAGUAUCUAGGAGGCUACAUAUAUCCUGAGAAACAUCACCAACAAGUUAGAGGCAUGGACCAUGCAUUCCCCUACCGCCCUUGCUACGUUGAUGCACUCCCGCUCAGAAAUGUCUCGUUCAUCUUAGAAACUCGACACCGGACACCUUUUUAUGCAAUUUUAUUUGCACCGUACGUUCUUUAG
RNAcentral lists this ribosomal RNA (1782 nucleotides) under Triticum aestivum (bread wheat). Its description in RNAcentral is "partial small subunit ribosomal RNA". Lineage: Eukaryota; Viridiplantae; Streptophyta; Magnoliopsida; Poales; Poaceae. The record is from RNAcentral.